AGCAGCCGCGGUAAUUCCAGCUCCAAUAGCGUAUAUUAAAGUUGUUGCAGUUAAAAAGCUCGUAGUUGAAUUUCGGGAUUGACACAUCGGUCGUGCCUUAAGGGGUAUGAACUGGUGUAGUCAAUUUCUCACCUUCUGGAGAACCGCAAUGCCCUUAAUUGGGUGUCGCGGGGAACCAGGACCUUUACUUUGAAAAAUUAGAGUGUUUAAAGCGGGCAUUUUGCUUGAAUACAUUAGCAUGGAAUAAUAAAAUAGGACGGAUGAUUCUAUUUUGUGGUUUCUAGGACCACCGUAAUGAUUAAUAGGGAUAGUUGGGGGCAUUAGUAUUCAAUUGUCAGAGGUGAAAUUCUUGGAUUUAUUGAAGACUAACUACUGCGAAAGCAUUUGCCAAGGAUGUUUUCAUUAAUCAAGAACGAAAGUUAGGGGAUCGAAGACGAUCAGAUACCGUCGUAGUCUUAACCAUAAACUAUGCCGACUAGGAAUCAGACGAUGUUAAUUUUUUAAUGUAACUCG
RNAcentral lists this ribosomal RNA (513 nucleotides) under uncultured Entrophosporaceae. RNAcentral describes it as "SSU rRNA". It matches the Rfam family "Eukaryotic small subunit ribosomal RNA", at positions 569 to 1078 of the family's 1831-position model. The record is from RNAcentral. Lineage: Eukaryota; Fungi; Glomeromycota; Glomeromycetes; Entrophosporales; Entrophosporaceae.